GACGAACGCUGGCGGCGUGCUUAACACAUGCAAGUCGAACGGAAAGACCCUGCUUUUGUGGGGUGCUCGAGUGGCGAACGGGUGAGUAACACGUGAGUAACCUGCCCUUGACUUUGGGAUAACUUCAGGAAACUGGGGCUAAUACCGGAUAGGAGCUCCUGCUGCAUGGUGGGGGUUGGAAAGUUUCGGCGGUUGGGGAUGGACUCGCGGCUUAUCAGCUUGUUGGUGGGGUAGUGGCUUACCAAGGCUUUGACGGGUAGCCGGCCUGAGAGAGUGACCGGCCACAUUGGGACUGAGAUACGGCCCAGACUCCUACGGGAGGCAGCAGUGGGGAAUAUUGCACAAUGGGCGGAAGCCUGAUGCAGCAACGCCGCGUGCGGGAUGACGGCCUUCGGGUUGUAAACCGCUUUCGCCUGUGACGAAGCGUGAGUGACGGUAAUGGGUAAAGAAGCACCGGCUAACUACGUG
RNAcentral lists this ribosomal RNA (468 nucleotides) under uncultured bacterium. Its description in RNAcentral is "partial 16S ribosomal RNA". It matches the Rfam family "Bacterial small subunit ribosomal RNA", at positions 28 to 507 of the family's 1533-position model. The record is from RNAcentral.